Molecule: ribosomal RNA, 224 nt
Filed under: uncultured bacterium
Lineage: Bacteria
Description: partial 16S ribosomal RNA
Rfam family: Bacterial small subunit ribosomal RNA
Source: RNAcentral
GAUCUGGCUCAGGAUGAACGCUAGCUACAGGCUUAACACAUGCAAGUCGAGGGGCAGCAUGGUCUUAGCUUGCUAAGGCCGAUGGCGACCGGCGCACGGGUGAGUAACACGUAUCCAACCUGUCGUCUACUCUUGGACAGCCUUCUGAAAGGAAGAUUAAUACAAGAUGGCAUCAUGAGUCCGCAUGUUCACAUGAUUAAAGGUAUUCCGGUAGACGAUGGGGA